Molecule: long non-coding RNA, 1526 nt
Filed under: Piliocolobus tephrosceles (Ugandan red Colobus)
Lineage: Eukaryota; Metazoa; Chordata; Mammalia; Primates; Cercopithecidae
Description: lncRNA (ENSPTEG00000008514.1)
Source: RNAcentral
GAAGAAUUUUAUGAAUUUUUCGAAAAUUUUAUUAAUAGGUUAAAAUCAAAAGAAGAGUUGCAUGUAUGUUCUAACUAUACUGACAUUGCUAGUGGUAGUACUGACCAUUUUAGUUAUACAAAAAACGAUUUACUUACUGAAAAAGAGGCCUCAACAGAAAUGAAUUAUUGUCCUAUGUGCGACCAAGAACAAUUAAAAACAUAUGUUCAAAACAAAAAAUUUAUAUAUAUUAAAAAUAGAUUAUGGAAAGCUAAUAGUGUGUUGUUAACUAAACAAGAUAUACCUUUUAAUAUUUUUUUAUGCAAAUUACCAAAUAUGUAUAAAGUGAAGUAUGAAAAUUUAAUUAGUUUUAGUGGCGUAAAGUUAAAAUUAAGUCAUUCUAAUAUUAUUGAUAUAUUAAAUAAAAUAAUAGACAAAAUACAUAAGAAAAAAAGCAGCGGAUAUAGUGACGUCGCAUGUCAUGGUGUAAGUCAAGUCACAAAUCAAGGCAUAAGUCAAGGCAUAAGUCAAGGCAUAAGUCAAGUCACAAAUCAAGGCAUAAGUCAAGGCAUAAGUCAAAUCACAAAUCAAGGCAUAAGUCAAGGCAUAAGUCAAGGCAUAAGUCAAAGCAUAAGUCAAGGCAUAAGUCAAGGCAUACGUCAAGGCAUAAGUCGAGUCACAAGUAACAAGGGAGAAAACGAAAGUGUCCAUCUAAUCGGUCUACUAAAAGUCUCUUACAUAAAUACAAUAAAUCUUAUUGAUAUAUCAGUUUGUGAUAAACCAUGUAAGGAAAAAAAAAAAGAAGAUAUAUGCACGCAGAAAGAAUUAACUACACCACCACUGAGAGAUCAUGACUUAAAGACUAAAAAAGCAUCAACAACAUGCAUUUGUUUUGAUCGUAUAUAUUUACCAAAUAACAAAUAUGUUUUGAUAAAAAAAGAAGAGUCUAUAUAUAUUUCUAAUGCGUCAGUUUAUAAUAACAGUUUAAAACAAAACAAUAUAAUACAUAAAGAUGUUAAAGAAAAUGUAAUUGACAUAUUAAAUAUAACAAAGAAAGGGAAAGAGAAUAUGAACACAAAAGUUGAUUCAAGGGUUGAUGUUAAGGUUGAUUCAAAAGAAAUAAAACAAAAAUCGUUGCUUAUAAAAAAAGAAAAUUGCAUGACGACAAGAAACAAUAGCAACAUGUAUGAUCAUGCCGAUAGACUAAAUAUUAAGCAGUGUAAAAAAGAAAACAUAAAUAAAAUAAAUAUGCAUAUAAAAGAUAAUAAAAUGAAUAAAAAUACACUAUCUAAAACGAUGAAAAAUGAGAAGAUGAAUAAAACAAUUGCACAUAAAGAUAUAAAUAAAAAAUCAACAAAUUCAAAUGUGGUAGAAAUGAUAAAAAGAAAAAACUUGUUACAAAAACAAAAAGAGAUGUUAGUUUCGAAGAACAUAGUAGGGACGGGUGUGCCAAAAAAAACAAACUUAACCGGAGCUACCGAAGAUCAAUCCCAAACCUCAUCAAAAAGUCGAAACUUAGUAAACCAUCAAACGAGUGCAAAAAAUAA